This 445-nucleotide ribosomal RNA is filed under the name uncultured bacterium. RNAcentral describes it as "partial 16S ribosomal RNA". It matches the Rfam family "Bacterial small subunit ribosomal RNA", at positions 354 to 796 of the family's 1533-position model. The record is from RNAcentral.
GUAGGGAAUAUUGGGCAAUGGUUGCAAGUCUGACCCAGCCAUCCCGCGUGCCGGAAGAAGGCCCUCAGGGUUGUAAACGGCUUUUGACGGUGAAGAAUCGACAGGAUGCGUCCUGUUUUGACGGUAGCCGUUGAAUAAGCACCGGCUAACUCCGUGCCAGCAGCCGCGGUAAUACGGAGGGUGCGAGCGUUGUCCGGAUUUAUUGGGUUUAAAGGGUGCGUAGGCUGGAAGGUCAGUCAGCGGUGAAAAGCUGUCGCUUAACGAUAGUCUUGCCGCAGAUACUUCCUUUCUUGGAUGAGGAGGAGGCCACUGGAACGGAUGGUGUAGCGGUGAAAUGCAUAGAUAUCAUCCAGAACACCGAUUGCGAAGGCAGGUGGCUGUACCUUAAUCGACGCUGAUGCACGAAAGCAUGGGGAGCAAACAGGAUUAGAAACCCUUGUAGUCC